ACCUAACUGGCGAGUCCCAAAUAGAACGAAACAUGCGUCCUGGAU
This 45-nucleotide non-coding RNA is filed under the name Schistosoma mansoni. Lineage: Eukaryota; Metazoa; Platyhelminthes; Trematoda; Strigeidida; Schistosomatidae. The record is from RNAcentral.